AGGGAAUCUUCCGCAAUGGACGAAAGUCUGACGGAGCAACGCCGCGUGAGUGAUGAAGGUUUUCGGAUUGUAAAACUCUGUUGUUAGGGAAGAACAAGUACAAUAGUAACUGAUUGUACCUUGACGGUACCUAACCAGAAAGCCCCGGCUAACUACGUGCCAGCAGCCGCGGUAAUACGUAGGGGGCAAGCGUUGUCCGGAAUUAUUGGGCGUAAAGCGCGCGCAGGCGGUCCUUUAAGUCUGAUGUGAAAGCCCACGGCUUAACCGUGGAGGGUCAUUGGAAACUGGAGGACUUGAGUACAGAAGAGGAGAGUGGAAUUCCACGUGGAGCGGUGAAAUGCGUAGAGAUGUGGAGGAACACCAGUGGCGAAGGCGACUCUCUGGUCUGUAACUGACGCCGAGGCGCGAAAGCGUGGGGAGCGAAC
RNAcentral lists this ribosomal RNA (425 nucleotides) under uncultured bacterium. RNAcentral describes it as "bacterial SSU rRNA". It matches the Rfam family "Bacterial small subunit ribosomal RNA", at positions 356 to 773 of the family's 1533-position model. The record is from RNAcentral.